AUGCCGGAAGUGAGAAUUGGAUAAAACUAAAUUAAUGGUUAUUUUUAUUACGAGCGGCGUUCAAUUUAGUUUUCUCCAAUAUCUCACAUCCGACCU
This 96-nucleotide microRNA precursor is filed under the name Macleaya cordata. RNAcentral's name for it is "MIR2275 microRNA precursor family". It matches the Rfam family "MIR2275 microRNA precursor family". The record is from Rfam by way of RNAcentral. Lineage: Eukaryota; Viridiplantae; Streptophyta; Magnoliopsida; Ranunculales; Papaveraceae.